Molecule: long non-coding RNA, 6383 nt
Filed under: Solanum tuberosum (potato)
Lineage: Eukaryota; Viridiplantae; Streptophyta; Magnoliopsida; Solanales; Solanaceae
Description: long non-coding RNA (STUB_LNC010133)
Source: RNAcentral
CACUAAUCCAUAAUUUCAUAGUUACCAACAACAUAACAAAAUAAUGUAAACUAUUUGAACCGUAUAACUAGUGUUAUUUUGUCUAAUAAUUAGUGAGUUAGAUAGCUAGCUAUAAUACAAGACAAUAAAGGGUACAUAAAAACUUCUGACACUUGAACAUAUGAUGAAGUCUUCCACAUGUCAAAUAUUUCGACAUCAUAACCUGAAAUAAUAAAAUAAGAUGGAUAUCAACAUUAUUUAUGAUAGGACAUAGUAUUACUACUGCUUUAUAACAUUUGACUACUAACAAUCAGACUCUGCACUUUGUCUAUGCACUUAUUUGUAACAAUAGUCCUAUUUGCAAGAAAUUAAAUUGUACAAUUUCGAGCUGGAGAAUAAAAGUAUAGAUCCCAAAAUAUAUGUGCUUCAAAACUUAGAUAUGCAUAAGAAUAAUUUAAAGAUAUUCAACUUAAAGUAAUUGGUUUGAAUCUAAGCUUUCAUGAGGUGCAAGCNNNNNNNNNNNNNNNNNNNNNNNNNNNNNNNNNNNNNNNNNNNNNNNNNNNNNNNNNNNNNNNNNNNNNNNNNNNNNNNNNNNUUAUACAUCUUUUACUUUUAUUUGUUUUGUUUUUGGUUAAGCCCGCUAAAUGAAUAAGAGAAAUUACAUGAAGUUCCUCAAAUAAAAAAUGCAUAGAGGAGUACAAAAUCUAUUUUAAAUUAAGACUACAUAUUAAAAGUUUACUUGGAGAAAGAAUCAACAUUUAUAAACUAAAAUCCUCGCUAGCUAAGUUACAAAUUAAGAAGCUUCAAAGAGAGCAUACUAAUAAGUAGAGUAAUGGCACUGAAUGUUGUAACCAUGACCUAUUAUUUCUUAUGCAGUACAAAAUAAACAUUUACAGUGAAGAGUGCAGAAACGGGAAUGGGCUUUUUGAGUGUUUGUACAUACUUGUUAGAUUUGCCAGAGAAGAUUUCAGGGAUUGAGAAUUCGAUUUGUUGUUCCUAUUGUAUAACAUUUUGCUUAGUAAAGUAAGGUGGUAGAGUUUUCUACCGCAUACAACAAAAGAAAGUUGUAAAUGACCAAACUCGUAUAUUAACAUUCCAUGGAGUACGCAAACAAUCAGAAUGCAAAUAUCGAUGAAAUGAAAGACAAAAACUCAUGUCGAACCUGGCUUGUUGGGUGUUUCUUGUUUUGCUUUCUUUGCCAGAGCCAGGAGCUACUUAGGAGAUGGAGCUGGUCUCUUUUUCUUUUCAACCUUCAUCAUAAAACAUCAAUCACAUAAAAGACGAUGCUAAUUAAGAUAAAUGUAGGCUCACGAGAAAAAAAUGAACAAACAUAAAGAUAAAAAAUUUAGUACUACCUCUUUUUGAUGUAUCUUCUUCUAAAUCUUCAUCUCCAUCCAAAUCAUCAAAAAAAUCCAUUACUUAAGGACCAUAAAAAUCCUAGUAAUCCAAAAUUUAAAAAAAUUAUGUACACCCAGAAAAAAUAUAAGAUAAAGCAUUUCUCCCUGUAUUAAAAGGUAAAAUCUACAUAAUAAGCAUCACAAAAAACUUUAUGAAUGGCACCAUGGCUACAGGCACAUCACUGGAGACAUCAUCACUACCAUCUUCAAAAUCAUCAUCAUCUUUGUUAGAUGUCGGUUCUUUUUUUGGUUCUGCCACCUUCGCAUUUUUCUCAAUAAAUGCAACCUUAGUAAGUGCAGACUUUUUUGAAUCAUGCUUUAUAUCCUUCACAUUAUCCUCAAGUUUUCCAUUUAUGCAUCUAAAACAUUCUCUUCAUGUAAAAAAAUAUCACCUCUAGAAUCAAUUUCAUCAACGCUCAGAUCAUCAAUUGUGCAUACAAUUAAAUACACACUCCCAUUUGUUUUAGUCAUGACUCAUGUAAAAUUUUAAACUCCUUUUCAAGGACCAAGUCAAACAUCAACUAAGGUCUAUCCUCUGCCGGUAGAGUUCCAAUGAUGUAAUUAUUUUCUCCAACAGUUAGGCGUAGAGGAACAUGUUUUACUUCUUUGGCAUACUUCACUUCAUCUAUUGCAGCCUACAAAAUAAAGAUCCCUAAUAGCCAUUUAAGAGUAAAGCCACAUUAUGCUAGCUUGAGAAAGAACACAAAUAUAAUUUAUUUAUUUUUAAAAAAAGAAAGCUAACCUUGUAAAUAUGAAUGAGCUUAUAAAGUUCAGGCUUGAUUUAGAAAUCGUCUUACUUUCACUUCAACACCUAUACAUAGCUCAUGUGAAAGAUAUGUCACACUUUAAUAAAUUAUGUUCAUAUGGUGUAAUUUCUGCAUCAUGAAAAUAAUUGACCAAAACCAUGUUAAGGUAUAGAUUAAAAAAAUAAGCACAUGUAUCAGUGGUUCAAUUUAUGUAUACAUAUACAAACCGAUCUAUACCUUUUUCUAGUUAUUUGGUUUUGAUUCUAGUAUGCAAUUUUAACUCCUAUUUUCUCUGCAUCUAGUUGCUAGAAACAUAAAAAAAUUCCUUUAAAUGAUACAAACAUCUGUAGCAGAAAAAUCAUGACGUCUUAAGCCUUCAAGAUUCAAUCCAUGAAGCUUAACUUUUUUUCUCAGAUACAAUAAUAUACUUUGGAACAUCGUUAGAAACCUGGAGAACAAAAUAACUAAGAUCCUAAAAAGAAACAUAUGUGAUCUUAAAUAUAGUUAGUGUGUUGUAGUCGUAUAAUAUAUGUGCUUUCAAUGUGAGAAAUGUAGAAGAACUAAUUUUAAUAUAUUCAACUUAAAGUAAGUGGUUCGAAACUAAACUUUAAUGAGGUGCAUCUCACAAACAAACUUAAAAGUAUAGCAAUUACAGAUGUAUUGCUAUCUUGAAUUAUGUUUGCAUUUAGGAAAACAACCAAAAUAUGAAACUAUUGAUAUCUUAAUUUAUCAUACGAGGAGUAUUGAGUCUUUCAAAGAAUUAAAAGACAUCAAAAAUUAAGAAAGAAUCUUACCACUGAACCACCACCAAGGAAUGAAAAAGAACCAAUACGGUAAAUUAAUGAACAACAAUAGCUCCUGUAGUGUGGCCGUAGUCCUGUAUGUGAAGAAUUUAAAUUAUCAUCUAUCAGUUAUACUAAAUUUCCAGAAUAGGUCAUGCUUCAUGAAAAUGACUAAAACGAAAUAGUCAACCACAACAUGACCUGCAAGAAGUGUGGUGUUUUUCACUAGAAAGCAAUACAUAUUUUUUCAAUACGUUAAAACUAAAGUGUAUCUAUUUGAAGAUACAAAGAUUUAGUUGGUUGUGUAUAUACAAGGACAUCAAUUAAGAUUUCAGUCUCAAGUUUAUUCAUUUCCAAAUUUUCUAUAAUGGAUCUAAGAACGGAUUGAAGCUUUUAUCUGUAAGAGUUAUUAGCAUUCCACACAAGUUGAAUUAGAUUAGCCUUUUAUGAAACAAAUGCAUUAAUACUACAAAGUAGAAAUAUAUUCUUUUGCUUUGAUAGCUCAUUUAUUUCCUAUUAGUAUAGUAAAUUUUUAAUCAAGCAUGAGUUCAUGUAGGAAUUUUUUUAUCCCUUAUAAACUUAUUAGUGAAUCAAAAGCUACUUAAUCUUUGCAAGAGAGUGAUAAGCAGUAUAACACAAUUAUAGCAUCCAAAUUACAAAUGACAUAAUGCAUGAGGGAUAUCAUAAUAAAAUCAAAUUUCCUAUAACUUCUGGGAUUAUAUUUAUAGGAAAACAAGGAAUUUCACCUCAAAGGGAUAAGGGGCAGAACACAUAGGGUACAACCUCCACUAAUAAUACUGAUAAUUAUCACUAGCGAUAGUAAUAUUUUUGAGAUAGAACAAGAAAUAGUAUUGUUAUACUUGGUGGAUACACUCUACUCCAAGAUUUUCCUGAUCGGGACCUAGACUUUAGGUACUUUCUUAACACAUGAAUUUGUACAUCAGCAAAUCUACACAGGAAAGAAGCACAUACAUGAAGAAAGUAAUCUGAAGAUCUCAUUCAGUAACCUCUAAAAAUUCAUAAGCAUUUUUAUUUCUAAAAUCUUAUACUCUUAGGAAACAUAAAUUGAUUGGAGUACACACACUAAUUCACCAACCUCUAAAAUUUCAAGAGAAUUUAGAUUUCCUAGCUUCUUACAAUUCCGCAGCAAUAAGACUCAAAGUCCUUCAAAUAUCGAUAGUUGAUGUUUGGAUAAAAGACAACUAGAAGGGACACUCUCCUCUCAUCUUCAAUGUUUCUCUCUUUGGUGAAUUCAACAUACAUAAUCUAAUGUUAUUCCUGUUUGAUCAAAAUAUUCAUCCGAGAACCUACGUUAUUUGGUAAUCAUACAGACAUAUAUUCAUGUGUGCUCUAGUUAUAUACAAACAUGAUUAUUCAAGAAAUCACCAUCCAUGUUUUUUACAUAACUUCAAUUAGACUACAGAUCACACAUUAGUCACCUUAUAAUGCAAUAUAUAUUGAUGUUUUCAAGAAAUUAAAACAAAUCUCAAUCACAGAGAGAUCUGAAUGCUAUAGAUUCAGGUAAAAAACAUCAAUUUUUAUUAAUGAUACACAGAGAACUUCUGAACAACCAAAGUAAAGAUAAAAGAAUCGGCGAAACAGAGGAAUCAAAUCAAGUGAUUUUCCAUCAAUUCAACAGCAGUCAGAGAUCAUAUAUUAUGAUUUAACAAACUCAAGAAAUCUAUAAUUUCACAAAUCAUAGAUUGCCAUAGUUAGACAUCACAAAAUGCAAUUUGACAUGGUAUCAAGUAUUUCGGUACUUGAUAAGAAGAAUAUUUUACCAAAAAAGACCAAAAUGUUAAGGAGAAGAAUUAUUAAGGUAACAAUCUGAAACUUACAUGAAUGUAGAAGAUGAAGAUGAUGACAAGGAGAAGAUUUAAACAUCGGUGGUUCAGCAAUAUCGACCUAAAGUCAUGACUCUGACUAUAAAUAGAUGAUGUCUAGUGAUGGGUAAGGCUACCAUAGAAGAUGAUCAGCGUAUAUGGCAGUCAUGGUGCCGCGAGGCGGAGAGCUUUAGAGCAGCAAUGUGGAAUUAGAAUGAGUAGGGUUUUUAGUUAUUUCUUUUGUUAAUUAUUGGAGGAAACAUCUAAUAGUGGUGAAAAACUAGGAGGGAAAAAUGACAAAAUUGUUUUCAAUUAGUAAUUUUUACGUGCAAAUUAUUUUUAUUGUCGGUAAAAAAUAAAUUUUAGUGGCCAAUGUUUAUGGGCCAGUAGUAUCUCAAUGUAAAUAAUUAAUUAGUGGCAAUUGACUUAUUAUCAUUAAAUAAUUAUCGCUAAAAGGCGCCUUUUUGUAGUAGUGUGAGGUUCAUAUGCAAGGCAAUACUAGCAAUACUAAUGUGGGAAUUGUGGAAAAGGAGAAAUGCAAGAAGGCAUGGAAAGGAAAUUACUUUUUAUAAGCUAGAGCAAAAAUGUCAGACCAUAAUAACACAGCUUAUAAGAAGUAAAUACCCGUGGAUAACAGUUCCUAAAGGGUGGGACACAAUUGUAGAGGUACUAAGAAGAUACAGGCCAAGAUUGCACUAUCACGCUGUGAGGUGGAUAAAACCGCAACAAGAUAAAUUUAAGUGCAACACGGAUGAAGCUAGCAGAGGUAACCCACCCUGGAGUAAGUUCUUACAGUUUCUGUAUUCGAGAUUACAAUUAAAGCUUGAUAUAUGCUGAAGCAGAUGCUUUAGGGGAUAGAAACACUAUGAAAGCAGAGACGAUAGCAAUUCUACAGGCACUUAGUUAUUGCAAGAGAAACAAUCUUCAAAACAUCAUUGUGGAAACAGAUUCGUUAGGAAUAACAAAAAUGCUUAGACAGGAAUGGAGGAUCCCAUGGGGCCAGGCAGAUGACAUACAAGAGAUAUAAGAGUUACAACAACAUGUUCAGGCACACAUACAACAUGUAUUCAGGGAAGCAAAUAAUCUAGCAAAUGAGGCAUGUGACCUAGAGGGGAAGAUUCAGACGCAAACAUAUCAACAACUAUGUAAAGGAAUUUUAAAUACUGAUAAAGCCCAAAUACCAUCACUGAGGAUUAGAACAAGGAAGAUUACAGUACAUGGGCAACAUCAUGAGUAGAGAAAGGAAUAAUAACAAAGCAGAACACAGAUAUGAUAUGUACAAUCAGUUUUGCCAAUACAAGGCAUACAUAACUGUGCAAAAGACUACGCUACAUAGCAUGAGCUUUCUCAACUUACAAAUUCCACCAGCAAAAGUUGAUGCCUUCAAAUUCAGAUGGUAUCUGGAGCUGAAGAAGAGAGCACGCUUCUUGGAAUCUCCUUCUCUGCCUCAGCUGGAAAUAAGGAGAUUAGAGGUGGAUGAGAGACGGCAAAAAGAGAACAGAGAAGAAGGAACUCACUCACUUGGAAUCUCUUAUACAGGAAGAUGCAGAUUUGGAGAAAGGAAGAGCUGAGGAGAAGCAGAGGCGGAUGAAUCCACAACACAAGCUCAACAGGUGAACAUAUUGAAGAAAGAGCCGGACCAAAUAGGGUUAAUUU